RNAcentral lists this long non-coding RNA (1794 nucleotides) under Sus scrofa (pig). RNAcentral describes it as "lncRNA (ENSSSCG00000054843.1)". Lineage: Eukaryota; Metazoa; Chordata; Mammalia; Artiodactyla; Suidae. The record is from RNAcentral.
CACUCAUGGCAUAUGGAAGUUCCCAGCCCAGGGACUGAACCCACGCCUCCACGGUGACCAGAGCCAGUGCAGUCAGAUCCUUAACGCACUAUGCCACAGUGGGAAGUCCAGAAACAGCAGAAACCAACAGGGUGGAAUACCUGUUGUCAUAACUUUCAUUUUAGGACUUUCUGGGAGUUCUCAGCCAGUGCAAUAAAACAAAAGAAAAAUAAACCUCAAAGAUUUGGAAACAAAAACAUUCUUAUUACUCAUAGGGGUAUGAUUACCUUCUCAGAAAACCUGAGACUCACCAGACAAUUACUGGGAAAGUUAUUAGCAAUAAUGAGAAUUUUGGCAAGGUUCCUAGACAGAAAUAUCAGUAAAUAAAAGACAUUUUUGUUUACUCUUAGGGCUUUAAGGGAGCCUGUCAUUUAGCACUUUUCUUCUCUGUCACAGAUCUUAACAGAGAAAUAAAGCAAAGGAGGAAGGCUGGGUGAGGGUGAACUCUGUUUCUUACUGAUAAAUGAGGAUGCAGCUUUUAUCUGUGGGCAAGAGGGGUCCUUAGUACUGACCCUCAGGUCAGGAAGUCACACACUGGGCCACAGUGAAGGCGGCUGUCCCCAGCCGAGCAGCAGGGACCACCUGUCCCUGGGGGUGGCCAGCUGCCCAAGCAAAGAAGGUUGAGUAGGGACUGUUCUUGUCCAACCCUUGCUCCCAAAGUUUGCUCCCACACUUGCCCAUGAGGUCUGUCCCUGGUGGGCCCCCUGGUGAGGGACCUAAGUGGGUGACAGAGAACAGGACGUUACAUAACCAGGCCCCUGCUGCACGAGAAAAAGCCCUGAGAAAGGGUAUUCCCUGCCCCCAAGCCCUCGCAACCAACAGAAAAUGUGCCUUAAAAAAAGGCACCCGUGGAGUUCCCGUCGUGGUGCAGGGGUUAACGAAUCCGACUAGAAACCAUGAGGUUGCGGGUUCGGUCCCUGCCCUUGCUCAGUGGGUGAAUGAUCUGGCGUUGCCGUGAGCUGUGGCCAGGGAGCAAACCCGCAACAUCAUGGUUCCUAGACAGAUUUGUUAACCACUGAGCCACGACGGGAACUCCCAGAAGUGGAAGGAAAUUUCUUUAAACUAACAGUAUCUUCAAAUGUCCACAGCAAAAAUCACCCUAAAUUCUGAAACUCUAGAAGCAUCCCAUGGACAAGGAUGCCAGCUAUGCCAGCUACUAUUAACAUGUCCUAGCCCCACUGCUACAUGAGAAAAACAAAGUUAUAACAAUUUAAAAAGAGAUAACUUUUGUGUUAUCUAUGGAGGGUACCAUUAUCUACAUUAAAAAACAAGAGAAUCUAAAUUGACCGGUCAUUAGAAGUAAAAAGAGAGUUGAGAAAAUUUUUUCUUUUACUAAACAAAGUCAACAGCCUAAAUGCAACAACUACUUAAAACAUGCGAUUUAUUUAAAAGUCCCAUUCAUAAUAGAAACCAGAACAAUCAGGAGAAAGUUGUAAAGCCUCAUUCAGGCACAUGCAGAAGGCUUCACUAAACAAGUUUCCCAUGGAUGGGGGGCUUAAUAUUGCAAUGAGGGUAAUUUUCCAGAAAUGAAAUUAUAAACGAAAUGCAAUGCCAAUCAAAAUUCCAGUAGGAUUUCUGGGAACUUGACAUAAAGAUUUGAAAUUCUUGUGGAAGAGCCAAGGUCCAAGCCUAGAGGCCAAAACAAGUUUAAAGAGCAGGUAGGGAACGCUUGGCCUGCUAGACGUCAAGGCUCACUGGAAACGAAGAGCUUCAGGGCAGAGCUAGACAAAGAGAGCAAAGAGAGGCGUCGAGAAG